CACGUAGGGUGCGAGCGUUGUCCGGAAUUAUUGGGCGUAAAGAGCUCGUAGGCGGUGUGUCGCGUCGGCCGUGAAAACCUGCAGCUUAACUGUGGGCGUGCGGUCGAUACGGGCAUCACUAGAGUUCGGUAGGGGAGACUGGAAUUCCUGGUGUAGCGGUGAAAUGCGCAGAUAUCAGGAGGAACACCGGUGGCGAAGGCGGGUCUCUGGGCCGAUACUGACGCUGAGGAGCGAAAGCGUGGGGAGCGAACAGG
This 254-nucleotide ribosomal RNA is filed under the name uncultured bacterium. Its description in RNAcentral is "partial 16S ribosomal RNA". It matches the Rfam family "Bacterial small subunit ribosomal RNA", at positions 524 to 776 of the family's 1533-position model. The record is from RNAcentral.